CCUAUUUUGUCCACUUCCAUCGUCCACAUCAAAGCUAAAACAAAUUUUAACAAAAUAUUUCACUUUCAGUCUGAGGUUUUGCUGACACAGCUUCGAGAUGAUGGUUUUACGUGUCUAGAACGAGAUGUUGGUUGAAUUCCAAGAAACCUGGAUGUGUUCGAUGCCAAAACCAAGGCCAACACUGUACACAGAAGACCUAACAUGCAAAAUAACAUUUCUUCUGAGUCACGAACUUUAUGACGCGACGAGUAUUGUUGGAAAAGUUGGCGAACUAUACGCUUGAAAAGAUUUAUUAUAUGCACGAAGGAAACGAUACGUUAGUGUAGGCGUAAAAAGGCUGCUAAUGUUAAUAUGGUCAAAAGGCGAAUCUGGUACGUUAAACACAUAAAAAUACGCAAGGUAAAAAUAAUAAUUAUUAGGAUCUAAGCAUAAAAAUGGAUUUGACUUUACAUAUUAGUGUGUGUGUGUGUUUUGCUAUAACAAAAUAAACUUUGGGGUAUAGUU
Limulus polyphemus (Atlantic horseshoe crab) is the source of this 504-nucleotide long non-coding RNA. RefSeq lists it as uncharacterized. The record is from RefSeq and is a predicted model, not a curated record. Lineage: Eukaryota; Metazoa; Arthropoda; Merostomata; Xiphosura; Limulidae. The transcript has 2 exons.